UUUUUUUUAAAUAAUAAUUUUAAUAAAAUUCGAUCCAAAUGGGCUUGGGCUUAAAGUCUACAACGCAAGUGACCCAGUUACAAAAAGGGAAAUCGGAAAAAAGUUCACCGGAAAAGAAAAGCGGCUCGACUCUUGUUGAUCACCGUUCGCAGAGUGACCAAAUCUUAGAUCUGGCAAAAUCAAGACUCACAACUUUGCGACCCCAUCAGAAGAUUGAAACAACCGGUGAAAGAUUUCAGUUUCCGACCAACCAUCUCUUUCUCCCGAUGCACCAACCCGCCACAAGUCUCCCAGAAAAUUAGUCACCCCGACGAAGCGGUUCGACGGUGAGAAAUCCCGACCUAGCAACCCCUCACACUUAUAGAUAUCCUCGCUCUCCUUUACCGGAAACCCCUGAAAUUCCAGAACCGCCGUGACUCGAUCCGGACAGUCGGCUCACUCGAGACGGCAAAUCUAGAAGCUGGUGGCUCACUCAUAACUACUAAAUCCGACCCCCGUCUCAGCCAUUGAAGACCUAGAUCUUCCGCUACCCACCUGUCAAAUCAACACCAAACCCACCUUAUCCCCUUCAACUUCCGCCGUAGAUGCAGCUACCAGGUCGACGACUGAGCCUAAGGAGAAUCAAAGCAACUCCCAACGUCCACAACCGGGAGACCACCGCUUCAAUGCUCCUCCUCCGCCAAUCUAGGGCCACAACCACAUUAGCGGGGAAACACCACACCCUUGUUGACGGAGAGGCACGACGACUCACUCCUGGAUCACUUGCGAGAAGACUUUGUCGACGUUAAGAGCAGAACGGAACAGAAAAUUCUAGAUCUAAAAACCAGAAAUCGCCUACAAGCGAGAGAGAAAUACACGGUUUACGAGGCAACAAUUGGGCCCGAUUUUCUCAGUUUGCUAGGUAAUUAAUUAUAUGAAGUUGUGAUUGAUUUCGUCUCUGAUAAGUAAGUUGAUAAAAUUUUGGCUUAACGUUAUCGCUUGUUGCAUGAUGUUAGUAUGGAAGUUAGUAGUGAUGAUUUUUUUGACGAAAAAAUUACUAUGUAAUAUGUAAUGAUAAAUAUGUAAUGUGUUAUUAAAUUUAAAGUGUUAAUAAGGCCAUUACAUU
Molecule: small RNA, 1105 nt
Filed under: Arabidopsis thaliana (thale cress)
Lineage: Eukaryota; Viridiplantae; Streptophyta; Magnoliopsida; Brassicales; Brassicaceae
Description: ATSL051000
Source: RNAcentral